Molecule: transfer RNA, 70 nt
Filed under: Alosa alosa (allis shad)
Lineage: Eukaryota; Metazoa; Chordata; Actinopteri; Clupeiformes; Clupeidae
Description: tRNA-Val
Source: RNAcentral
GCAUGGUGGAGCAGCGGUAACGUAACUGACUGACAAUCGGUCGACUCGGGUUUCGAUUCCCACCAUUGCG